UCAUCUGUUGCCAGCAUUUAAGUGGGGACGUCAGAUGAGACUGCCGGUGACAAACCGGAGGAAGGUGGGGACGACGUCAAGUCAUCAUGGCCCUUAUGUCCUGGGCUACACACGUGCUACAAUGGCCGGUACAGAGUGAAGCGAAACCGCGAGGUGAAGCAAAACGCAGAAAGCCGGUCUCAGUACGGAUUGGAGUCUGAAACUCGACUUCACGAAGUUGGAAUCGCUAGUAAUCGCGCAUCAGCAUGGCGCGGUGAAUACGUUCCCGGGCCUU
RNAcentral lists this ribosomal RNA (274 nucleotides) under uncultured Spirochaeta sp. RNAcentral's name for it is "partial 16S ribosomal RNA". It matches the Rfam family "Bacterial small subunit ribosomal RNA", at positions 1108 to 1382 of the family's 1533-position model. The record is from RNAcentral. Lineage: Bacteria; Pseudomonadati; Spirochaetota; Spirochaetia; Spirochaetales; Spirochaetaceae.